Molecule: small nuclear RNA, 107 nt
Filed under: Chinchilla lanigera (long-tailed chinchilla)
Lineage: Eukaryota; Metazoa; Chordata; Mammalia; Rodentia; Chinchillidae
Source: RNAcentral
GUGCUUACUUUGGCAGCACAAAUACUAAAAUUGGAACAAUAUAGAAAAGAUUAGCAUGGUCUGUGCACAAGGAUGACACGCAAAUUCAUGAAGCAUUCUGCAUUUUU